GACGAACGCUGGCGGCGUGCCUAAUACAUGCAAGUCGAACGAACAGACCCUGAGUUUGCUCUACUCACGUUAGCGACGGGUGGGUGAGUAACGGGUGGUUAACCUUCCUUUACGUACGGGGCAAAUGCGGGUAACACGAGUUAAUACCGGAUAACAUCUUAAAACGGUUUGUUCAACAGUGUAUGAGGGUUUUGCUGUCAUUUAUGGAUGGCUCCGUGAGGCAUUAGCUAUGUGGUAAGGUAACGGCUUACCAAGGCAACGCUGAGUACCCGACCUGAAGGGGGGGACGGCCACAGUGGAGCUGGGACACCGUCCUGACCCCUACAGGAGGCAGCAAGUGGGAAUCUUCCGCAAUGGGCGGAAGCCUGAACGAGGAACGCCGCGUGGAUGCAGAAAGGCUUCGGGUCGGAAAACGCUUUUAUUUGGGAAAAACAAAUGUGGUAGGAACUAUGCUCGUCGUGACGGUACCUAAACAAGAAGCCCCGGCUAACUACGUG
This 497-nucleotide ribosomal RNA is filed under the name uncultured bacterium. Its description in RNAcentral is "partial 16S ribosomal RNA". It matches the Rfam family "Bacterial small subunit ribosomal RNA", at positions 28 to 507 of the family's 1533-position model. The record is from RNAcentral.